UAGUCAGCAUGUCUGGUAGCAUUUCUGGCUGCUGUUGACCUUGUUUUUGGAGUAAAACACGGUGGAAGCUGAAUUAGUGAGGAUGACUCCUGCUCCUGUCAUCUCUAAGCUCCUCACACAUCUUUACCUGCACAUGAGGAAAAUCACUCCUGUAGAAUGCAGUGGUUCAUCAGAACCUCUGGGGAUGUCCUGUGGAUUCUGUGGAUCCUGUGGGUUGCAGGGUGGGUCCUACCUAGACCAGGCUGAUCCUGGACCAUCCCACAGAUGCUCCAUCAGAUGUGGAUGUGGGGAGUGUGGAACCCAGAUGUUCAGAGGGAGAUGAUGCCACAUCUGGUCCAGCUGAUGGAAGGUCUUGAAGUUCUCUGACUGGCCUGGACUGAAGAUGGUCGUCUCACUGGAUUUAAGGUUCAGAUGCUCAGUAACAAACUCCACCAAUGAGCCAACAGGGAAGCUUUAGGUUUAUUAAAUGUUGCUAUGAAGGUUUCGCUGUUUUUCUUUGUGAAUGCAAUGAGCUCCAACUGAAAGUUGAAUUAGAACUUAGAAGUAAAUCCUUCCAUCUGAAAGGAUUUAGUUGCAUUAAUAACCUCAUAACAUUCUAAUUUUUAUUCCAGUCUUGGUUGGAAAUAGAAUCUCUGUAUUGAUUCAGGUAAAAACUGAACUUCACAGCAUGUUGGAGCAAAACAACCAGAUGAAAACUGUGAUGGUGUUGGAUUGUCAGACCGUAAUGUUGCAGCUCAAAGCAGCUUUUCUAUCGCAGUUCAUUCUGACAUUCAGCUAUGAAUCAACACAGCAGAUGGUGAUCCAUGCUGUGGAAGUCUCACAUCUCCUGAUUUAAUGGAGCUGCUUUGCACUUUUUACACUGUUUAUUCACCAACACUUUAUUUAAUAAAAGUCCCAUCUAGUUUUUAUGAGGAAUGUGAUGUUUUAAUUUCUCUGUGAAUAACUGCAGUCUAAUGCAACAGCUGGAGUUGUAACAUCUGUCCUGAUAUUGAUCAUGAAGUAUUGAUCAGAAUACUUAUGGUCAGCAGUCAUCCCUGAAGUUUUACAUUAAAAUCUUUACUUGUGUUGUGAACUUUGGUAAGAAGCAGAAACGUUAGCGUUGCCAUGGAUACAUGAGUGUUAAAUUCUGUCCAUGUUUCCAUUUUGGGAAAUUCAGUCCAGCAGAUGAGUUUGUUUUUAGUGCCGGCUACCAUUCAGUCUGAGAUAUUAAGAGUAAAUAAAUGUGCAUAAUGUGGAAAUGAACAGAUUUUAUUUUUAUUUUUUCCUACAGCUGCUGCAUGUAAAGUUCCAAAAUGUGGAGGAAUUUAGUCUCACAAUCACAGACAAUAUAUAUUAUCUGAAAAUCAAGUUAUUGUUGUUUAUCAGCACAAUACAGAAAGAUUCAUGUUAGAAAUAUUCCAGUUAAGACUCUAGAAUAUCAUGAUUUAUGUAAAUUUACCUCAAUAAUAUGAAUGUUCAGGUUAAGAUUGUACAGUGAUAUUUAUUAUGGAAGUUCAGCUGAUUAAAGUUUAUGAGUCUGCACUACAAUAUUAUUAUUUAAAUUUACAUCAUUAUUAUAAUAUUUAGGGUCAGACCCUACAGUAUUGAGAUUAAGAAAUCAAAUAUUCUGUAAAAUGUAAAUACACUGAACUCAUUUGGAUAUAUUUUAGUGAGACUCUACAAUAUUAUUUGACACAAAUCUAUCUAAAUCAAAAUUGUAAUCAUUUUUACUCCAAACAUUUACUGGACUGAUUUAAAUAUUAAAAUCACUCCUUUCUAAUCCUCUGCUGUCUGUUCAAACCUGAGGCCUUAAAUAGAAACACACAAGUAUCUGAUUGAAGGAACUUCUGCAGAGUCCUGGUUCCAGAACAUGAUGAUAGAAUUAUAGACAAACUUGAACAAAAGCUGCCUGAAAGUUUACAGGUUUUUAUGUUAGAUUUCUUCAGUAAUUUAAUGAGAGUUUUCAGCAAAAAUCAAGUGUUCAUUUGAUGAACUUCAUUUCCUAAAACAUCCAGAAUUGGAGCUCAUAUCUUUGGCAGCUGUAAAGUUUCUGCUCCUUCAAAGCUCACAACACAAUGAAUGAAUUCCUUAAACACUCUCAAUGCUGGAGAGCGUUUGUGAUGCUGAAGCAGUGACCAGUUUUUCUGUUUCUUCUCUGGAGAUGCACAAUGAGGGACGUCUGCAGCGACUGAGAAAGAGUCUCACCACAUCCUGACAUGAGGAAAAAGACUUUAUUGAAGACUACAAUGAGAAAAACUAUCAGACAGCAGACGGCUGCAUUCAAGGUGAGCUCUGAACAUUUGAUCUGGAACAGGAAUUCAAUAACGGCAGCAUGAGCUUCAUUUCAGUCUGUAGCUGCUGAAUUCAUGGAUGAAUCAUCUGG
This is a long non-coding RNA of Amphiprion ocellaris (clown anemonefish), 2362 nucleotides long. RefSeq lists it as uncharacterized. The transcript is spliced from 4 exons. NCBI's taxonomy places the organism in Eukaryota, Metazoa, Chordata, Actinopteri, Pomacentridae. The record is from RefSeq and is a predicted model, not a curated record.